GAGCCGGGAAGCUGCGCAAACCCCAGCUGAGUUAAAAAUAGCAAUUGAUAAAGCUGCAAAGUCUCGCACCUCGGAGGAGUUCAAGCCAGCAUUCCUCCUGCCUGAGCAACCCUCGCCUGUGCCGUGCUGUCACUUGUGCCAUGCUGUCACUUGUGCCAUGCUACGAACGCGGGCAUGGGAUUUAAAACACAAUUUCAUGCUGCUUUCCCCACUCCUGGGACCCCUCGGGGUCAGGAGGAGCUGAGCUGGGGUGAAGGCACAUCUAGGAGAUGCAAAGGUAGGACCCCGUUCUCCAGGGCCAGCAGCAUCUUGUCUUAACCACUCUAGGUGGGUCCAUCUACUCAUUCCUGGCAAUGAAUAACCCACCAAGUCCUGUAGGAAACAUACCCUGUGUCUGCAGCAAGAGGUUACACACCAAUGUGCAUGUGCAAGAAGGUGAUCCUCUUGACUUUGACAGCUGAUGGAGCACAAGUGCAUCUGCAAGGGAGCACCUCAUUUGUCAUCUAUGGCAUGGACCAGACCUUAGCUCCAAAGCUUUCCAGAGAUACUGGAGCACAGCCCACGGGGUGGGAGUGGAAGGAGGGAAUAGCUGCAGCUUGGCUUCUCCUCUCUGACCACCAGCCAGCUCCCUAUCUCGGGAUGGAUCCAGCAGCAGCGCGGGAGCUCGCAUCCAAGAAGCCCCAGUGCUUUGCCAGGGCCACACAGGUAGCAAAGAGCCUUAGAGAAAGUCAAGUGCAACAUCUGGGAGUCUUUUUUUUUUUUCUUUUUUUAUUUUUUUUUUCCCCCGUUGCCUCCCCUGUAUUUCAGAGCGCUCACUCUCUGGUGUGCAAGGAGAGCUUGCCAAAGCUGAAAAUGCUCCAGUCUCCCACACGAACACCCCUGCGUGUCUGUCUAGGGAAGCUGCAUCAGAGGACAACCGCUGUAUUCUGA
RNAcentral lists this long non-coding RNA (930 nucleotides) under Calidris pugnax (ruff). Its description in RNAcentral is "lncRNA (ENSCPUG00000004155.1)". Lineage: Eukaryota; Metazoa; Chordata; Aves; Charadriiformes; Scolopacidae. The record is from RNAcentral.